RNAcentral lists this ribosomal RNA (115 nucleotides) under bacterium. The record is from RNAcentral.
CCCGGUGGUAAUGGCGGAGGGGUCACACCUGUUCCCAUCCCGAACACAGUAGUUAAGCCCUCCUGCGCCGAUGGUACUGCAGGUCAUCCUGUGGGAGAGUAGGGCACUGCCGGGA